This 298-nucleotide long non-coding RNA is filed under the name Ictidomys tridecemlineatus (thirteen-lined ground squirrel). Its description in RNAcentral is "lncRNA (ENSSTOG00000033215.1)". Lineage: Eukaryota; Metazoa; Chordata; Mammalia; Rodentia; Sciuridae. The record is from RNAcentral.
CACGCACCCGGCGCGGCGCGGGUGGGGAAACUGUGGCUGGAGGGGAAGGAGCGCGCUCCAGUUGUUCCAUGGAUGCAUGAUCCAAACCCACCCAACUACCUGGAAUUUGGAAAAAGGAAGACUAGCUUGGAUACUGGCAGAAAAGGAUGAUAGACUGGGGACUGGGAGUCUCAGGAGUUGCCUGAGAUUGUCAAUGGAGUCAGAAAGUGUCCUAUUCCCUAUUUCUGCUGCCCCUGCUUUGGGCAAGUGGAAAAGAUACCAGCAGGCAAGGCCCCCAGCCUCCUGCCAAGGCAGGUGA